This 406-nucleotide ribosomal RNA is filed under the name uncultured bacterium. Its description in RNAcentral is "partial 16S ribosomal RNA". It matches the Rfam family "Bacterial small subunit ribosomal RNA", at positions 30 to 526 of the family's 1533-position model. The record is from RNAcentral.
AUUGAACGCUGGCGGCAGGCCUAACACAUGCAAGUCGAACGAGUGGCGGACGGGUGAGUAAUGUCUGGGAAACUGUCCGCUGGAGGGGGAUAACUACUGGAAACGGUAGCUAAUACCGCAUACCAUCGGAUGUGCCCAGAUGGGUUUAGCUAGUGGGUGGGGUAACGGCUCACCUAGGCGACGAUCCCUAGCUGGUCUGAGAGGAUGACCAGCAACACUGGAACGUGGACACGGUCCAGACUCCUACGGGAGGAAGCAGUGGGGAAUAUUGGACAAUGGGCGAAAGCCUGAUGCAGCCAUGCCGCGGGUAUGAAGAAGGCCUUCGGGUUGUAAAGUACUUUCAGCGGGGAGGCGUUACUCGCAGAAGAAGCACCGGCUAACUCCGUGCCAGCCGCCGCGGUAAUUC